UACUGCUCAGUAACACGUGGACAACCUACCCUACGGAGGGGGAUAACCCCGGGAAACUGGGGAUAAUACCCCAUAGACUAUGGAUGCUGGAAUGCUCUGUAGCCGAAAGGUCCGCCGCCGUAGGAUGGGUCUGCGGCCGAUUAGGUUGUUGUUGGGGUAACGGCCCAACAAGCCUGUAAUCGGUACGGGUUGUGGGAGCAAGAGCCCGGAGAUGGAUUCUGAGACACGAAUCCAGGCCCUACGGGGCGCAGCAGGCGCGAAAACUUUACAAUGCGGGAAACCGUGAUAAGGGAACUCUGAGUGCCCGUAAAAUCGGGCUGUCCAUCAGUUUAAAUAACUGGUGAAGAAAGGGCCGGGCAAGACCGGUGCCAGCCGCCGCGGUAAUACCGGCGGCUCGAGUGGUGGCCACUAUUACUGGGCUUAAAGCGUUCGUAGCUGGUUUGUUAAGUCUCUGGGGAAAUCUUCCGGCUCAACCGGAAGGCGUCUCAGGGAUACUGGCAGACUAGGGACCGGAAGAGGUGAGAGGUACUCCAGGGGUAGGAGUGAAAUCCUGUAAUCCUUGGGGGACCACCUGUGGCGAAGGCGUCUCACCAGAACGGCUCCGACAGUGAGGGACGAAAGCUGGGGGAGCAAACCGGAUUAGAUACCCGGGUAGUCCCAGCUGUAAACGAUGUGCGUUAGGUGUAUCGGUGACCACGAGUCACCGAGGUGCCGAAGAGAAAUCGUGAAACGUACCGCCUGGGAAGUACGGUCGCAAGGCUGAAACUUAAAGGAAUUGGCGGGGGAGCACA
This 791-nucleotide ribosomal RNA is filed under the name uncultured archaeon. Its description in RNAcentral is "bacterial SSU rRNA". It matches the Rfam family "Archaeal small subunit ribosomal RNA", at positions 84 to 880 of the family's 1478-position model. The record is from RNAcentral.